UGGGGAAUUUUGCACAAUGGGGGAAACCCUGAUGCAGCGACGCCGCGUGAUUUAGAAGGCCUUCGGGUUGUAAAAAUCUUUUCUAUGGGAAGAAAAUGACAGUACCAUAGGAAUAAGGACCGGCUAAUUACGUGCCAGCAGCCGCGGUAAUACGUAAGGUCCGAGCGUUGUCCGGAAUCAUUGGGCGUAAAGGGUACGUAGGCGGGUAAGCAAGUUAGAAGUGAAAUCCUAUAGCUCAACUAUAGUAAGCUUUUAAAACUGCUCAUCUUGAGGUAUGGAAGGGAAAGUGGAAUUCCUAGUGUAGCGGUGAAAUGCGCAGAUAGUAGGAGGAAUACCGGUGGCGAAGGCGACUUUCUGGCCAUAACCUGACGCUGAGGUACGAAAGCGUGGGUAGCAAACAGG
RNAcentral lists this ribosomal RNA (402 nucleotides) under bacterium. RNAcentral's name for it is "partial 16S ribosomal RNA". It matches the Rfam family "Bacterial small subunit ribosomal RNA", at positions 355 to 776 of the family's 1533-position model. The record is from RNAcentral. RNAcentral also lists the same sequence under 1 other name.